CUGGGCUAGAGGCGGGUCUCCACCAGCGACUCAUCGGAGGCGGGCUUGAGAGCAGCUGCAGGGGAGGCGCGCAGGAGCCUCGGCGGCGGCGGCGGCGGCGGCGGCGGCGGCGGCGGCGGCGGCCGAACCGACAGAGUCGGACCCGACACCAAAACCGAUAAUGGAUUUGGAUAUAUUGGCACACAGUGCUCUGAAAUAAAUAAGAUUA
This 208-nucleotide long non-coding RNA is filed under the name Neogale vison (American mink). RNAcentral's name for it is "Neovison vison (American mink) lncRNA (ENSNVIG00000024796.1)". Lineage: Eukaryota; Metazoa; Chordata; Mammalia; Carnivora; Mustelidae. The record is from RNAcentral.